This 467-nucleotide ribosomal RNA is filed under the name uncultured bacterium. Its description in RNAcentral is "partial 16S ribosomal RNA". It matches the Rfam family "Bacterial small subunit ribosomal RNA", at positions 28 to 523 of the family's 1533-position model. The record is from RNAcentral.
GAUGAAUGCUGGCGGCGUGCCUAACACAUGCAAGUCGAGCGGCAGCGCGGAGAGUUUACUCUCUGGCGGCGAGCGGCGGACGGCUGAGUAACGCGUGGGAACGUGCCCCAAAGUGAGGGAUAACUGCCCGAAAGGGUGGCUAAUGCCGCAUAUGAUCUUCGGAUUAAAGGAUUUAUCCGCUUUGGGAGCGGCCCGCGUCGGAUUAGGUUGUUGGUGAGGUAAUGGCUCACCAAGCCGACGAUCCGUAGCUGGUCUGAGAGGAUGAUCAGCCAGACUGGGACUGAGACACGGCCCAGACUCCUACGGGAGGCAGCAGUGAGGAAUCUUCCACAAUGGGCGAAAGCCUGAUGGAGCAACGCCGCGUGCAGGAUGAAGGCCUUCGGGUUGUAAACUGCUUUUAUAAGUGAAGAAUAUGACGGUAACUUAUGAAUAAGCACCGGCUAACUACGUGCCAGCAGCCGCGGUAA